RNAcentral lists this non-coding RNA (225 nucleotides) under Halanaerobium hydrogeniformans. RNAcentral describes it as "T-box sequence". It matches the Rfam family "T-box leader". Rfam says of the family: Uncharged tRNA acts as the effector for transcription antitermination of genes in the T-box leader family. Lineage: Bacteria; Bacillati; Bacillota; Clostridia; Halanaerobiales; Halanaerobiaceae. The record is from RNAcentral.
UUAAAUGCAGAGAUUGGGAAGAGUAUUUUUGCUGAAUGUUAAAAGAGAAUUGUGUCAGAGGCUGAAAACACAUAACAUUUCUGCAGAUUGAAAACCACCCAUGAGCAGGCAGAAGGAAAAUAGUAUUUCUGUCCGGAUAUAAACCGUUAUUUUAUUAAGUGAAUGUUCAUCUAUAAUUAGAGAUGAAUAUUAACUAGAGUGGAACCGCGAUCCGUCGUCUCUAUU